RNAcentral lists this ribosomal RNA (317 nucleotides) under Robertmurraya beringensis. Its description in RNAcentral is "bacterial SSU rRNA". It matches the Rfam family "Bacterial small subunit ribosomal RNA", at positions 1150 to 1465 of the family's 1533-position model. The record is from RNAcentral. Lineage: Bacteria; Bacillati; Bacillota; Bacilli; Caryophanales; Bacillaceae.
UGGCGGUGACAAACCGGAGGGGGGUGGGGAUGAUUAAAAUCAUCAUGCCCCUUGUGACCUGGGCUACACACGUGAUACAAUGGGUGGUACAAAGGGCAGCAAAACCGCGAGGUCGAGCCAAUCCCAUAAAAGGGAGUCUCAGUUCGGAUUGUAGGGUGCAACUCGCCUACAUGAAGCUGGAAUCGCUAGUAAUCGCGGAUCAGCAUGCCGCGGUGAAUACGUUCCCGGGCCUUGUACACACCGCCCGUCACACCACGAGAGUUUGUAACACCCGAAGUCGGUGGGGUAACCGUAAGGAGCCAGCCGCAUAAUGGGGG